AACGUAGGUGGCGAGCGUUAUCCGGAUUUACUGGGCGUAAAGGGCGCGCAGGCGGGCUUGCAAGUCGGGUGUGAAAUAUCCCGGCUUAACCGGGGAGGGGCAUGCGAGACUGUCAUUCUAGAGUACGGGAGAGGGUCGUGGAAUUCCGGGUGUAGUGGUGAAAUGCGUAGAUAUCCGGAGGAACACCAGAGGCGAAGGCGGCGUCCUGGGUCGAAACUGACGCUGAGACACGAAAGCAUGGGGAGCGAACGGG
RNAcentral lists this ribosomal RNA (253 nucleotides) under uncultured bacterium. RNAcentral's name for it is "partial 16S ribosomal RNA". It matches the Rfam family "Bacterial small subunit ribosomal RNA", at positions 524 to 776 of the family's 1533-position model. The record is from RNAcentral.